AGAAAUUAUUCCACGCGGUGAAAGAAAUUAAACAUCAUUUUAACUUUCACGCAGAAUAGCUAAAGUGAUAUGUGACUUACUUAGAACCAAUGUAUGAUUUUCCAGUAGCAGGGAUUCCGACAAGUAUAAUAAUCAGUUUUUCUCUAAUACCGUAAGAUGCAUUAUUAGAAUCAUUUUCAGUUCGUUUAGAGACUGUUAACCCAGGAAUAUCAAUAGUUGAUUCCUGACGCACCGGAAAUCUACCUGGACGUCUCAGCCGAUUUUUCCUAUGCUUUCCUAACUUUCCUUCGUCCUUCAGCUUCAUCCACUGGGGGGUUGGUUUAGGAACUUCCAUUUUCUCUACAUCAUUAGCGGGACUAUUCCUAUCUGGCGUUAAUUCUUCCCUUUUGAAGAUACUAUCAUCUACAAAUGAAGUCUCUUCUGUAUAAUCGCCAAGUUUCAUAUGUGGUUCCUUUGACGGAUAAUUCUGCUUAGCAUCAUCGUCAGUAUCGUUGUUGGGUUUAGUAGCCUCAUAACCAGUUCCUUUGGUAAAUUCCUCAGUACGGGCGGAACCUGUAUUAGACAUUGCAAAGAAUCUCACGUUUAAUCUUUGCAGAAAUUUCUCUAGAUGAGUUUUAUGACUGAACGAAAAUUGGCAGAGCCAAAAUGAAUGGUGAAUUCCCAAUCCUUCUUAUUGACUGUUAACUCAAAAGGGUUGACUAAUGAUAAUGACUAUUCAAUUCUUCAAUGCUAAUAGUUUCCUUUAAAUUCAAGUAACCUAGCAAAUACACACUCACUUCUAGGCGUGGUGGUACAUUGAUCUGACGAGAAUGAAAUCAUCGUCAGAAUGAAGUCCUUACAGAAAAUUUCUAACACCAACAUCACAAUUCAUGGUUGCUGAUAUGGUUGAAACUAAUUCAUAGUUGACUGUGUUCUAGAAAUUCGACUUGGUUUUCUUGUACAGACAUUCAGUAUAUCUUCGGCCAACUUUAUUCACUAAUAAAUGCUAUCUUCGAAAAAAAAUCAUUCUUAAACAGUCUCAUUACAUGCACUAUCGUAACUGCAGAUUUUUUCACUGUAAACGAUUGCCUAAAAAAUGCAGUUAAAUUAUAAAAUUCAAAUGCUUGGUAUAGGUUGAAGAAUAACAAUGCAUUUAUUGCAGCAAUGGAAAUUGCAAUAAAACCAAUUAUGUGUUACUAUACAUUACUAAGAUUAUUCAGGAUAUGUACAUGAUCAAGCUGUAAAACCAUUUUUCAUUAAGUAUAGAGAUUGAGCAUACACCAAAGUGGUAAGGCUACCUAGAACUGAAAUAAACGAUACAAUUGUUCCAGGACAGUGA
Molecule: non-coding RNA, 1318 nt
Organism: Schizosaccharomyces pombe (fission yeast)
Lineage: Eukaryota; Fungi; Ascomycota; Schizosaccharomycetes; Schizosaccharomycetales; Schizosaccharomycetaceae
Source: the annotation of a GenBank genome assembly